Molecule: long non-coding RNA, 3119 nt
Organism: Gasterosteus aculeatus aculeatus (three-spined stickleback)
Lineage: Eukaryota; Metazoa; Chordata; Actinopteri; Perciformes; Gasterosteidae
Source: Ensembl
AGUCUUCUUUGCAUAUGAGAUUUAUUUUUCUGCAGCCGUCGUGUCGUAUCAUGUUACACAAAGCGAACCGGAGAAAACGGAAACGGGGAAACUGGACGAAAUUUAUUGUUCUUUCUGAGGUUAUUUUCUUGUUACAAAAGGUGAGAACAUUUCUGAUUAUUUUUGUGUUUCAUCUUUAACACCGAGCUGUAGCUGGGCAGUGUUAUCGUUAUUGUUCGUUGUUUUAUUACUUAUAUAGGAUUCCAAAUUUGAGGAGAACAUCAAAAUAAAAUCGCAUUCAUUGUGCGAUACGUAAAAUGACUGUUUCAAAAGUAAGUCAUUAUGCAAAGUUGGAAAAUAAACAAGACAACCACAAAACUACACGUAUUAUAUCUACGCAUAAUAUUUAUACUAAUAGUUUAAUUUUUUUUUCAAAAUGUAGAUGCAAAUAAAGACUUUCGUGAUGCAUUAGUGAUAUAACCCUCUUUGACAAAUACAUUCAUUUAAAUGUAAAUCUGGGUCUAAAUUAUUUAAACUAUUCAGAAUGUUCUGGAUUUUCUCCCUUUAUUUCAAAGCAGAUUUAAACAGGCGGCGUUGCGUUCAGGGCGUAAAAACCCAAUUCAAUAACACUUUUAAAUAAUCGUCUUGGCGGGGUGAGCGAGCCACAUUCGCCAUGUUGAGAUCCUUUGUGCGCGCGUGAGAGUGUGUGUGUGUGUGUGUGUGUGUGUGUGUGUGUGUGUGUGUUUCCAGAGGUCUCGUUACCCUGACUUUUUUUCCCCCUUUACCCUAAAUAUAAAAUAUUGUGGGCUAUGGAGGAAAUGUAGAGUAUUUAAAUGUUACAACAUAUUUAAUAAAUUAAAUUAUACCGAUUUUAGUUACAAAUAACAGAACCAAUUUGCACAAACAACCGUAGAGAAUUUGACACCUUUAUAAAGAUUUAGAGGGAUUUUGUCCUAUUAUUCCACGUUGAAAUGUUUACUUUUAUAGAUUCCUCCUCUUGUUUCUUGUCGUCUGAAUCGAUGUCGGAUCUUCUUUUAAAGUCUGCACGCUCCAGAAAAAUGUCAAAUUACAGGCUGGCUCCGGUCGCAGGCCCACUUUACAUAAUUACAUACGGAGGACUAGUCUGCUCACUUUGAAGAACACGCUUUUAGUUCUACUAAUCAUCGCAGCAAGUACAACAGCGGCUCAUUAAAAUGCAAACAUAUUAUCCUUAUUAUCUUAUUCGCAGUUUUUGUAAUUCCGUUUCAACAUUUUUGACAAAAGGCCACUUUCUAUUUUUCUUCAAUCCGUUCGGGUUUUUUUUGCCGAAAAACUCGAUCGACAUUUAUUUAUUCGCAUAAUCGCAGUUUAUUAAACUGCUAUAAACACGUCUCGUAUUCGGGUGUCUGGCUGGAUUUCAGAGGCCUCGCGUUGAAGGUAACCCCCGUGCGCGCGCGCGUGUGUGUGUGUGUGUGUGUGUGUGUGUGUGUGUGUGAGAGAGCUGCGUGAUGGUGAAUUUAAUUCAAAGUGACUGCUCCAACGCGGCAGCUCUUUCUGUGGCAGCAUGAUGAGGCGAUAAUGGCGAUAAUAAUAAUAAUAAUAAUAAUAACAAUAACAAGACGCAGACAGACGGAGAACCACCGGAGUAUUAACGUCCCGAACGACGACUUCUACUUUUGAGUUUUUUACAAGUGUAAAAGAAACAUAAACGAGCUGCUCGUGUUGUCCAACUGCGCAAAUAAUCAUAAUGACGUUAAUACUAUUAUUAAUAUCAAUAUAAAUGUUUGAUUAUAAUGCUGUAUAUAUUUAUUUAAUAAUGAAUACAGCACUCUUGUCAAUACUACAAUAAUACGAGUAAAAUAUUUAAUGAAUGCAUAUGAAUUUAUAACAUUUUGAUUUAAAAAAAAAUGCAGAAUCGCUUUAAGACCUUUAACUAAAAAUGUUUGCCUUGAAAAAAAGUUACACAUCCUACUGCAAACCCUAAAUCAACAAAACGUGUAGAUAAUUACGGGGUAAAUAAUACAAUUAUGAUAUAUUUAAUAGAUAAUAUAGUUGAUGGUUUUAUUUACAGUCAUUGUUGUUGUUUUUAAACUACUUUUAACCAAAAUAGACUCACUCAUCAGAAUAGUUUGGACAGUUGUAUCUUUGUGCAAAACCUGUUUUUCACUUUUCAUAUCUAUGUGAGCAAUUCUAAUAAAAUGUUUAUCCAACUGUUUGGCCGUUUUGCAGUUUAUUCUCUCCCGACGUGUCCGAUAGUCGGCGGAGGCGUGAAAUACGCGCAAUGCUGGAUUUCUGUGUGUCGUCACAAUUAUUUAUUAAAUUAAGUCAGAAACUGACGACCAAGUAUUCUCAACUUAUUUGCAUAUGAAGCAACAUCUGUGCGUGCACGUGUAAUUUAUGUAGGUCUACCUGAAUAAGCAGAAAUAAAAAGAAAAGGCCAGACAAACAAGCUCGUGUGCGCGCGCGCGCGCGUUCCCGAGUGUAAUCCAUACGACGCAACACUGAAGAAGACUUGCCCCUGAUCACUUCUAUUGAAUAUUGGGCUUAAGUGUAAAUAGAUUUAAUUUUAAAAACGUCCUCCAGACUUCCCUGUCAACAGAGCAGACAGGCUUGAGACGGGCCACGGCCGCGGAGCAUGCUGGGAUGUCUGCUCGGAAGUUUAAGCAGCCGACGAGAGAGGACGUGCCGGCCCACCCCCCCCCCCCCCCCCCCAUAGUGAGGAGAAGGCACCCAGCUACGAAAUACAAUACAAACUCAAUUAAAUGCGGUCUCCGCUGCGAAUUGCCGCAAUGAAUGAUGAAUCGGCCGUCGCUCUCACACUGUAGGAUCUCCGAAAUUGCAAUAAUGGGCAGAAUCGUUAUGUAAAAUAUGCACGGGGCCACAUUUACCAAAUUUAGUCCAGGAGGGGCAACUGUCUGUCUGCGCCUUUUGUUCGGAAAUUCCUUCCCAAAUAACCAAGUUUGUCUCUAAAAGCGCGCGUUUAAGGUCAAACCGCCGCAUUGUCCCGUCAGAGCGGAAGGCCGCUGCAAACUGGGGAGGAAUGUAUCCAGACUUUCACAUAUUGAGAGGAUGCUGAAUACAUUUUGUGGCCGUCUAGCGUGAAAUUAGUACAUGGCAAAAAGAUGGUUUAGCAGUAAAGAGUGUAAACAGUAAUUACAAAC